This 621-nucleotide ribosomal RNA is filed under the name Salmonella enterica. RNAcentral's name for it is "bacterial LSU rRNA". It matches the Rfam family "Bacterial large subunit ribosomal RNA", at positions 1 to 652 of the family's 2925-position model. The record is from RNAcentral. RNAcentral also lists the same sequence under 1 other name. Lineage: Bacteria; Pseudomonadati; Pseudomonadota; Gammaproteobacteria; Enterobacterales; Enterobacteriaceae.
GGGUUGUGAGGUUAAGCGACUAAGCGUACACGGUGGAUGCCCUGGCAGUCAGAGGCGAUGAAGGGCGUGCUAAUCUGCGAUAAGCGCCGGUAAGGUGAUAUGAACCGUUAUAACCGGCGAUACCCGAAUGGGGAAACCCAGUGUGAUUCGUCACACUAUCAUUAACUGAAUCCAUAGGUUAAUGAGGCGAACCGGGGGAACUGAAACAUCUAAGUACCCCGAGGAAAAGAAAUCAACCGAGAUUCCCCCAGUAGCGGCGAGCGAACGGGGAGGAGCCCAGAGCCUGAAUCAGCAUGUGUGUUAGUGGAAGCGUCUGGAAAGGCGCGCGAUACAGGGUGACAGCCCCGUACACAAAAGCGCAUGUGCUGUGAGCUCGAUGAGUAGGGCGGGACACGUGGUAUCCUGUCUGAAUAUGGGGGGACCAUCCUCCAAGGCUAAAUACUCCUGACUGACCGAUAGUGAACCAGUACCGUGAGGGAAAGGCGAAAAGAACCCCGGCGAGGGGAGUGAAAAAGAACCUGAAACCGUGUACGUACAAGCAGUGGGAGCACCCUUUGGGGUGUGACUGCGUACCUUUUGUAUAAUGGGUCAGCGACUUAUAUUCUGUAGCAAGGUUAACCG